This 11023-nucleotide long non-coding RNA is filed under the name Gossypium raimondii (Peruvian cotton). RNAcentral's name for it is "long non-coding RNA (GRAI_LNC009169)". The record is from RNAcentral. Lineage: Eukaryota; Viridiplantae; Streptophyta; Magnoliopsida; Malvales; Malvaceae.
GAGCAUUAAAUUAAAAGAGAAAUAAACGAAAUUACCGAAAAGAUCUCAAAACACGAGCUUCGUCGAACGGGUUACACAAAUUAAACCUUUUUUUUCUUUUUUCCUUUUUUAUUUCUUCUUUUUCUUUUCUUUUUUUCUCUCUGCUGGGCCGGCCAGUUGGGCCUGCUUCUGCUGGGCUGGUGCGUGUGGGCCUAGCCUGCUGGUGCUGGCCUGCUGGGCUACACUGGGCCUGGGCUGGUGCGCAAAUGGGCCGGCUGUUGGCCUGCUACCUUUUUUUUUGCUUUCUUCUUCUUCUUUUUUCCUUUUGGGCUGCUCUUCGGGCCUGUUGAGCUGGGCUGCUGCUGGGUCGGGUUGGGUCACCUGAUCGGGUCGGGUUGGACCUGGAUCGGGUCGGGUCGGCCUGAUUUUUUUAAAAAAAAUUCUUUUUCUUUUUCUUUUUCUUUUUCUUUUUCUUUUUCUUUUUUCUUCUUUUUUCUUUCCCUAUUUUUUUUCUUGUUCCUUCUUCCUUCUUCUUCUUUUUUCUUCUCCUUCGACAGUAGCCCCUUGUGUUGCCGAUGCCGCCUUGCUGCCCGGCGGUGUAAGGCAACGGUGGUGCUCCUCCUUCUCCCCUUUCUUCUCUUUUUUCCUCAGUUUUUUUUCUCUUGCUGUUUUUUAUUCUUUUCUUUGUUGCUUGGCUUGUUUGGGUUGUAGGUAAUGGUGGUAGAGGUGUCACGGUGGCAGUGCGGCGGCGAUGGUUGCGGGAGGAGGUUUUGGGUUGCUAUUUUUUGAAUAUUUUACUGCUAUUUUUUUUUGCUGCCAAAACUGAACCCCCCUCUCUUCCUCUCAUCUUCUUCUUUUAAAUCCUUCAAUUUUGUCUUCUUUCCUUUGUUUUCAGGCGGUAGGGGAGCAUCAUUGGCCUAGGGAGGCUGCUGGAGUAGCUAGAGGUGGGUGGAGCACGCUUGGCUGCCGACUGGCAGAUUUGACAUGUCCAGGAGGACCAAAUUGUAAAGGUGUAAAGUUUUCGGGGUAAAAAUGUAAUUUUAGAAAAAUAUGGGGCUAAAAUGUAAUUUUUAGAAAUUUUAGGGGUCUGAAUGUAAUUUAUAUUUUUUGUAUUUUUUUCUGAUUUAUUAUUUUUUUAUUAAUAUUUUUAAAACAUAAAAAACAAAAUAAAACAAUGGGCCAAAGCCCAAACAAGUCCAAAAUUAAAUUAUUUAAAACCCAAUUAUCCAACCCUACCUGCCCACCCAUUGGGCCCAAUCAUUAGGCCCACAUUAGGCAAGCCCAAAAAAAUCAUAAUUUUUUUAACAUAUAUAAAAUAAAAUAAGAUAAAAUAAAUAAAAUAAAAUAAAAACACGAAGAACGUACCAGACAAAAUUCAGUGAUUACAGCUGCCCCCUUUUGCUCGUCGCUGUGAAACAGGGAUAGAGCAAAGACUAAAAAGCACUGAAUUUUGUUAGACCAUCCAAAAUUUUUCUUUUUAUUCGAAAAACAGAAAUCGAGAAUAGCUCGGCGUGCGACUCAAAGCUCAACUCACCUCUCGAAAUAUGAGUUGAUUUUUGAAAAACAGAAAUUUAAAAGAAAUACCUCAGCAUGUGUCCGAGGCUCAACUCACUUCUCGCAAUAUGAGUUGAUUUUUUGAAAACAAUUUAAAAUACCUCAGCGUGACCCGAGGCUCAACUCACCUCUCGCAAUAUGAGUUGAUUUUUGAAAAAAACAGAAAUUUAAAAAAAUACCUCAGCGUGCGACCCGAGGCUCAACUCACCUCCCGCAAUAUGAGUUGAUUUUCGAAUAACAGAAAUUGAAAAAUACCUCGACGUGACUCUAGGCUCAACUCACCUCUCGCAAUAUGAGUUGAUUUUUGAAAACAGAAAUUUAAAAGAAAUACCUCAGCAUGCGACCCGAGGCUCAACUCACUUCUCGCAAUAUGAGUUGAUUUUUUGAAAAACAGAAAUUUAAAAUACCUCAGCGUGCGACCCGAGGCUCAACUCACCUCUCGCAAUAUGAGUUGAUUUUUGAAAACAGAAAUUUAAAAGAAAUACCUCAGCGUGCGAACCGAGGCUCAACUCACCUCUCGCAAUAUGAGUUGAUUUUUGAAAAACNNNNNNNNNNNNNNNNNNNNNNNNNNNNNNNNNNNNNNNNNNNNNNNNNNNNNNNNNNNNNNNNNNNNNNNNNNNNNNNNNNNNNNNNNNNNNNNNNNNNAAAAAAUCAGCGUGACCUGAGGCUCAACUCAUCUCUGUAUUAUGAGUUGAUUUAAAAAAAAACAGAAAGUGAAAAAUAUUUCUUGAAAGAAAUAGGGUUUCAAAAAACAUCUGGUAAAACUAAAAGCCUUCUUCUUCAUUGAUUCUGUGCAGCUUUCUCUUAGUAUUCCUUGCUCUACUGGUAUACCUGUAUAUGUCAUGCAUGAUGUUAUUAUGAUAUGCACAUGUUUGUCCUAAAUGCUUUUGUGUCUACAUGAUCAUGCAAUGCACCGUGGGCUGUUUGUCACGUGCCCCACUUUUGAUUUUUGUGAGGGUCCGCAUUCAUUUCCUCAAUUCUUGACUUUUCUCUCUAGUUUUGUACUCAUCCUCAAGUUCUGUGAGUAAUCCACAUUUUCGUAUACCACCUUCCUGCCCCCUUGUUGAACUUUGUUCUUGCUUUAGGGUCAUUGUAUUUAUCAAAUUCUCAUUCAGGUAAUGUUCAACAUUCCUUUUGUUUAGAGUAUGUCAUCUUACUAUUUAUCAUUUAAAUGAAUCAAACACGAGAUGCAUGAAAAAUGGCAAAGUAGGCAUGAAAGAAAGACCUCACAUUCAUUUUUUCACAAGCAACAAACAAAGAAAAUUGACAAGGAAAAUUUCAAAUAAAAAAAAAACAUCAUAAAGAAAGGAAAGCGAAUUCAAUGGCCACAAAUGUUCUAGAUAUCUAAUGCAUGAACUUUCCACGUUUCUUCAUCCUGGAUCUUUUCGAGCACGGCUUCUUGUGUAGAAGAUUUUGAGCUUCUGAGAAUGCUUCAAAUAUUGUGACUUUGUCAUUCAACACUCCGUUCAAAUCGUCUUGCUCCUUAAGUUCGAGCCCAUUUCAUUAGGAUGCCCUUUCGGGUUUUCAUCCUAAUCCUUCUUCUUCUUUUUUUUAUCAAGACGCCCUUUUCGGGUUUUCAUCUUAAUUCUCUUUUUUUAUAUUUUUUUUGUUUUUUGUUUUUUUUUGUUUUUGUUUUUGUGUUUUUUUUAAGGCAUAAUACUUCUCCACAGCUUCUGAGUUUACUGGAUUAGGUAAUUCUUUCCCCUCUAUCUCAGUGAGAAUCAGAGCCCGUCUCGAGAAUACCUUUUUUACAACAUAUGACCCUUCCCAAUUUGGUGACCAUUUUCCUCGAAAGUCUUUUUGUAUCGGGAGGAUCUUUCUUAGUACAAGUUCCCCUUCGCGAAAUUCUCUUGGUCGCACCUUUUUAUCAUGGGCCGUGAUCAUUCUCUUCUGGUACAUCUAUCCAUGACAAAUUACCUUCAAGCGUUUUCCCUCAAUAAGAUUUAGCUGAUCAUACCGAGCUCGAACCCACUCUGAUUCUUCUAACUUUGUCUCCAUCAAAAUGCGCAGGGAUGGGAUCUCUACUUCGAUAGGCAGAACGGCCUCCAUCCCAUAGACUAAAGAAAAAUGAGUUGCCCCCGUAAACGUUCGUACAGAGGUGCGGUAUGCGUACAAAGCAAAUGGUAGCUUCUCGUGCCAGUCUUUAUAUGUCACAGUCAUCUUCCCGAUAAUCCUCUUAAUGUUCUUAUUAGCCGCUUCUACUGCUCCGUUCAUCUUCGGGCGUUAGGGUGAAGAAUUAUGAUGCUUUAUCUGAAAUUGCUCACAUACUUCUUUCAUCAUAUUGUUGUUCAAAUUUAAAGCGUUCUCUGAAACGAUUCUUUCAGGCAGACCAUAUCGACAUAUAAUCUCUUUUUUUAAGAACCUACAGACUGCAGCCUUUGUCACGUUAGCAAACGAAGUGGCUUCUACCCAUUUUGUGAAGUAGUCUAUAACCACAAAGAUGAAUCGAUGUCCAUUGGAAGCUUUCGGGGAAAUGGGCCCUAUAACAUCCAUGCCCCACAUAGAAAAAGGCCACGGAGAAGUCAUGACAUGAAGGGGUGACGGAGCUGCAUGAAUUUUAUCACCAUAAAUUUGACAUUUGUGGCACUUUCAUGCGUAGCCAAUGCAAUCCCUUUCUAUCGUUAGCCAAUAAUAAUCAAGUCUCAUAAUCUGUCUGGCCAUGGUGAAACCACUAGCAUGCUUUCCACAAAUUCCUUCAUGAACCUCCUCAAGUAUCUUUUCAGCUUCAACAGCGUCUACGCACCUCAGAAGCACUUGAUCUUUUCCCCUUUUGUAUAUAAUAUCCCUGUCAAGAACAAAUCCAAUCGCUAUUCUCCUGAUUGUUCUUUUAUCAUUCUCGUUUGCUUGCUCGGGGUACCUUUGAUUCUUGAUAUACUCCAAGAUAUCAUGGAACCAUGGUCGUCGAUCUGACUCCUCCUCAAUACUAAAACCAUUCUCCUGAUUGUUCUUUUAUCAUUCUCGUUUGCUUGCUCGGGGUACCUUUGAUUCUUGAUAUACUCCAAGAUAUCAUGGAACCAUGGUCGUCGAUCUGACUCCUCCUCAAUACUAAAACCAGUGUGCAGGGGUCUCAUAUAUACUCAUUUGGAUGGGCAUUAUCUCAGUUUCUCUGUUUACCUUGAACAUCGAAGCCAAUGUGGCUAGGGCAUCAGCCAGUUGGUUCUCUUCUCGCGGGAAGUAGUUAAAAGUCACUUCUUUGAAUUCUUUGACCAAUUUCGCAACGAGAUCGUGGUAUUUGACUAGUUUUGGAUCUCUCACUUCCCAAUCUCCACGAAUUUGAUAAAUGACUAAUGCUGAAUCCCCGUGUACUUCUAAAAUUUUGAUUUUCCUCUUGAUAGCUGCACGAAGUCCCAUGAUACAAGCUUCGUACUCCGCUAUAUUAUUGGUACAGAAGAAAUUCAAUCUGGCAGUGAGUGGGUAAUGGUCCCCUUCAGGUAAUACUAAGAUUGCUCCUAUCCCAUGCCCCAAUGCAUUUGACGCACCAUCAAAACUCAUCUUCCAUGGUUUUUCUUUUGAUGACUCGCCCUCUUUUUCUGAAAUGCACAUUAAAUCCUCAUCUGGGAAGUCAAAUCUCAAAGGCUCGUAUUCCUCCGUUGUUUGACUUGCCAAGAAGUCAGCUAUUGCGCUUCCUUUUAUCGACUUUUGGGUCACAUAUACAAUGUCAUAUUCAGUCAAUAGGAUCUGCCAUCGGGCCAUUCUCCCUGAGAGUGCAGGUGACUCCAUCAUGUACUUUAUUGGGUCCAGUUUCGAAAUUAAUUAUGUCGUAUGAUACAACAUGUAUUGUCUGAGCCUUCGAACAGUCCAAAUUAACGCACAACAAAAUUUUUCAAUUGAAGGGUACUUUGCCUCAUACUCUGUGAACUUCUUGCUGAGAUAGUAAAUUGCCUUUUCUCUUUUCCCUGACUCAUCAUGUUGUCUCAGUACGUAACCCAUUGAGUUCUCAAACAUGGUCAGGUAUAAUAUUAAGGGUUUUCCAGAGGUUGGCGGUACUAGCACAGGAGGAUUAGACAAAUACCGUUUUAACCUAUCGAAGGCCACUUGGCACUCCUCGUUCUAUUCUCCCGGGUUAUGCUUUCGAAGGAGUCAAAAAAUUGGAUCACACUUAUUGGUAAGUUGAGCAAUAAAUCGGGCAAUGUAAUUCAACCUUCCUAAAAAUCCUCUGACUUCUUUUUGUGUGCGCGGAGGAGGCAAUUCUUGUAUAGCUUUUAUCUUAUCUGGAUCAACCUCGAUACCUCUUUCACUAACAAUGAAACCUAGCAGUUUUCCUGAGGUAGCCCCAAACGUACAUUUGGCCGGGUUAAGCUUCAACUGGAACUUUCUUAAUCUUUCAAACAGCUUCCUAAGACUCCCAACAUGCUCUCUUUCUUCCCGAGAUUUGGCAAUCAUAUCAUCGACAUAAACUUCUAUUUCUCUGUGCAUCAUAUCAUGGAACAACGUCACCAUGGCUCUCUGAUACGUUGCCCCAGCAUUCUUUAGUCCGAAUGGCAUUACCUUAUAGCAGAAGGUUCCCCACAUUGUUAUAAAUGUAGUUUUCUCCAUGUCCUCUGGAGCCAUCUUUAUCUGAUUAUCACCUGAGAAGCCAUCCAUGAAAGAAAACAGAGAAUGCUUUACCGUAUUAUCCACCAAAGUGUCGAUGUGUGGGAGAGGAAAAUUAUCCUUGGGGCUUGCUUGAUUUAGAUCACGAUAAUCCACGCACAUUCGCACCUUUCCAUCUUUCUUUGGUACCGGGACAAUGUUAGCUACCCACUCUGGAUACUUGGAGACUUGUAGGAAGCCAGCGUCAAAUUGUUUUUUGACUUCUUCUUUUAUCUUUAACAUCAUUUCGGGUCUCAUCCUUCUUAGCUUCUGUUGAACAGGUUUACAUUCUGGUUUCAGUGGGAGCUUGUGGACUACAAUAUCCGUGUUCAAUCCUGGCAUAUCCUGAUAAGACCAGGCAAACACAUCCUUGUACUCAUGGAGCAAAGCGAUCAAAUCUUGCUUGGUAUUUUCUGCAAUGGAAGUCCCAAUCUUCACUUCUUGUUUCUUUUCUUCACUCCCCAAGUUCACUACUUCGACAGAUUCUUGAUGGGGUAGGAUCUGUUUCUCUUCUUGUUCUACCAUUUUCAGUAAGUCAGGAGACGAGACACAAUCUUCAACAUUUUCGUCAGCUUCAAAUUCUCCUAAACAAACAGUCUUCUCGAAAUCGAUUUCAGGACUCGUAACUGGAUUGUUUAUGCCAUGGAUAUCUGAGCACUUAAAAGGUGAAUGGAAAAGAAAACUAUAGAGGAGCAUCAUGGAAUGAUAUGAGAUACAUGGAGAGAAAGGAUUUGAAACGAUGGGGUAAUUAUGAAACUGAUGGAAAUGAAAAGAUCAUGACAAAAUGCAUCUUUAUUAAUGUUCAUUGAAAUGAUAAAGAGUAAACAUAAGCUCUUACAAAAGGAAUCCCACUAUUUAGGGGCACACAAAAUAAAUAGAGAAGUAACAUUGGGCAUUACUCUGGAGAGGACUUAAAAACUACAAGAAGGUCCACAACAGUCCAAUUGUUCAAAACAAAUCUUAGGGGACAAGAGCGUAUCAUUGAAACAUCCUCAAUUGUAUCACUCUCAUUGAGUUCAGCAUCCAUAGCUAUAGUUCUUAGACGUGUCCUGUAAGGACGACGUGAUUCCAGACUUGUGUCGCAACUGUGGAUUAUAUUGCUUUAGCCUCAGUGAAUGGUAAGUGUGAUAUGUACAUGCAAUGCAUGAAUGAAUGAAUAAAUGAAUGAAUGAAUGACAAGUGAAUGUUAGUCAUGAAUAAAUGUACAAAAAUUUUGUGUUGAUUUCAAGAUAGCCCUAUACUUAGGCGUUUCAUUAAUCAAAAGAGUCCAUUACAAAAUAUUUUGCCAAUGAAAAUGCCCCUAGUGUCUAAGUCCCAUUGUUUCCCGAUCCUAGUCAAGUCUUCAAGAUCGUUCUGACGAGCAUUCGAGGUCACACGCUCAGGAAGAUCAGAGAUGUAACCUUCCUUUAAACUGUCCCCUUUCGCUUUCUGAAUCCUCAAAGACCAAUCUCGGACUACAGUAAUUUUCUCGGUUACUUGUGUAAUCGACUCUUUCAUUAGAAACCCAUUUUUGGCAACCAAUCUCUAAUCAACACCUUCCUAAUGAGAUGUCUACGAUGCAUGAUGAAAAAUAAAAUGAAGAACAAAUAACCUUGGUUAGAGAUCACAGCAGAUAUAAACAGAAGGAAAAAGAAAAAUGAAGACUAUGGAAAAUUUAACAAAUUAAGCUAUUCAAUCAUGCAAUUUGGCGGAACAGACCCAUAUUUUUUUUUGCCCCAACAUGCUUUACAAAAACCUACCCCACAUACCAUCAAACAAUCUAUCCGACCCAAAUUAUUAAACAGACUCAAUUCAUUUGCAAAUAAGUGUAAAUGUAAAAGAAAUAAAAGGUAAGAGGCGUUUCUCCCGUGUAAUUAUUUUGGUGACUAUUCAUCGAACAGAGGUUCGGCAUGGCUCUAAUUGGGUGGCUCGUACGGUUCACUAUAUGUGGCUUCGGUUCUAGAAAGGUACUCGAAUUGUCCAUACUGUUACCUACUAAGGUAAGUACGAAGCCUCGGUUAUCGCCCAUCAUGGGCUUGCGAGUUCAAUUCGAGGGAUUACAUUUACUUAUGCCUAUGCGGAGGGACAAGUUAACUCACGAAAGCAUAAGUCAUAUGUAACCCGGAAGUAAUUACUAGCCUGUGCGGAGGGACGAGUUAACUCACGAAGGCGUAGAUUUUACUUCCACUUAAACGGACGGAGCCCGGGUAGAGAGCUCAUGUUAUGCAAAAAAUGCAAGUGCACGGUGUGUGGGGAGAAACUCACAAACCUUUUAAAUUUUAUUUUUACUAAAACAACUAAAAAAACGUAAAACUUAAAGCUGAAAAAAACAGAAAGACAAAACAAGUUAGAAAAAUAUUAAUUAAAAAAACCGAAUGCAAAUGCAUGACUUUUCAAAAAAUAAAAUUCAAGGAUCACGAUUAAAAAUUAAUUUGAACAAAGGAUUUUAAAAAUUUGACAACACGCGUUUAACAUCAAACUCGACUCUCAAAAACAUUUUGUCCCCAGUGGAGUCGCCAGCUGUAGCGACCUAAAAUUUAGCGCUGGGCGCUAAUCGAAUUGAUUGUUGAAAAUUUGAAAAUGGAGUUUCGAUUUUAUUUAACAAAGGAGUCGCCACCGAUCUUUUUUCUAGGUGUGAUCGGACACCUUCAAAAUUCUCUUUUUAGAAGAAAAAUUUAUUUUUAAACUUUUCUAAAAAAAGAGGUAAUUUUAGGUCUACGCUAAAAUCACGAGAAAAUUAGAGUUCGGGAGUCGGUUACGCGCAAGGAAGGUAUUAGCACCAUCGCGACGCCCAAAAUUGGUAUCUCGUUAAACGCAUGUUGUCUUAAUUUUCAAAAAUACGAGUUCAAUUUGAUAUUUAGUCGUGAUCCGAUUAAAACACGAGAAUUUUGAAGCACAAAUUUUUUUUUUAAAACGAAUGUUUUUUUAAACACGAGAAUUUUAGAGACACGAAAAUUCUUAAAAAACACGAAAAUUUUUAAAAACAUAGAAAUUUUUAAAACACGAGAAUUUUUUUUGAAAACAUGAAAAUUUUUGAAACACAAUUUUUUUUUUGAAAACACGAAAAUUUUUAAAACACCGAAAUUUUUAAAAACGUGAAGAUUUUUGAAACACGAAAUUUUCUUUGAAAACAGGAAUUUUUUUUAUCACCAGAAAUUUUGAAAACACGAAAAUUUUUGAAAUUCCGGAAUUUUUGAAAACUCGAGGGUUUUUGAAACACAAAAUUUUUGAAAACACGAAAUUUUUUUAUCACCAGAAAUUCUGAAAGCACGAAAAUUUUUGAAAUACGAGAAUUUUUUUUUGAAAACACGGAAAAUUUUUUUGAAACACGAUUUUUUUAAGAAGUACCAUAUUUAACACGAAUCAAUGAUAUUCAUCCCUACAUGGCGAUGAAAUCAUCGACUUAGUACCAAAUCGAUUCAACUUAAUAUUUAAUCGUGGUUCUAAUGAAACACGAGAAUUUAAAAAAACACGAAUUUUUUGAAUAUUUUCAAUUUUUAAAAGGGCGUAUCGAGUUUAACGCAAACCGGUGAUAUUCACCCAACAUAGCGAUGAAAUCAACGAUUUUAUGUUAAAUCGAUUUGUUGCCUUAUUUAUUAAAAUUAUUUAAAAAAAUUAAAAUUAAAAUUGAAUUAAAUUAAAAAUAUAAAUACAAAAAUAUAGAAAUACAUAAAAUACUAAUAAUAUUAAAACAAAAAUAUAUAAAAAUACGAGCAUUAAAUUAAAAGAGGAAUAAACGAAACUACCGAAAAUAUCUCAAAACACGAGCUUCGUCGAACGUGUUACACAAAUUAAACCUUUUUUUUUCUUUUUUCCUUUUUUUCUUUCUUUUUUUUUCUUCUUUUUCUUUUCUUUUUUUCUCUCUGCUGGGCCGGCCAGUUGGGCCUGCUUCUGCUGGGCUGGUGCGUGUGGGCCUAGCCUGCUGGUGCUGGCCUGCUGGGCUACACUGGGCCUGGGCUGGUGCACAAAUGGGCCUGCUGUUGGCCUGCUACCUUUUUUUUUGCUUUCUUCUUCUUUUUUUUUCCCUUUUGGGCUGCUCUUUGGGCCUGCUGAGCUGGGCUGCUGCUGGGUCGGGUUGGGUAACCGGAUCGGGUCGGGUUGGAACCGGAUCGGGUCGGGUCGGCCCGAUUUUUUUAACAAAAUUCUUUUUCUUUUUCUUUUUUCUUCUUUUUUCUUUCCCCCUUUUUUUUUUCUUGUUCCUUCUUCCUUCUUCUUCUUUUUUCUUCUCCUUCGACAGCAGCCCCUUGUGUUGCCGACGCCGCCUUGCUGCCCGGCGGUGUGACGGCCACGGUGGUGCUCCUCUUUCUCCCCUUUCUUCUAUUUUUUCCUUGGUUUUUUUUUCUCUUGCUGUUUUUUUCUUUUCUUUGUUGCUUGGCUUGUUUGGGUUGUAGGUAAUGGUGGUGGAGGUGUCACGGUGGCGGUGCGGCGGUGAUGGUUGGAAGAGGAGGUUUUGGGUUGCUAUUUUUUGAAUAUUUUGCUGCUGUUUUUUUUUGCUGCCAAAACCGAACCCCCCCUCUUUUCCUCUCAUCUUCUUCUUUUAAAUCCUUCAAUUUUGUCUUCUUUCCUUUGUUUUCAGGCGGUAGGGGAGUAUCAUUGGCCUAGGGAGGCUGCUGGAGUAGCUGGAGGUGGGUGGAGCACGCUUGGCUGCCGACUGGCAGAUUUGACAUGUCCAGGAGGACCAAAUUGUAAAGGUGUAAAGUUUUCGGGGUAAAAAUGUAAUUUUAGAAAAGUAUGGGGCUAAAAUGUAAUUUUUAGAAAUUUUAGGGGUCCGAAUGUAAUUUAUAUUUUUUGUAUUUUUUUCUGAUUUAUUAUUGUUUUAUUAAUAUUUUUAAAACAUAAAAAACAAAAAAACAAAACAAAACAAUGGGCCAAAGCCCAAACAAGUCCAAAAUUAAAUUAUUUAAAACCCAAUUAUCCAACCCUACAUGCCCACCCAUUG